UGAAGCAUACUCUGUCAUACUUCUAA
This 26-nucleotide non-coding RNA is filed under the name Rattus norvegicus (Norway rat). The record is from RNAcentral. Lineage: Eukaryota; Metazoa; Chordata; Mammalia; Rodentia; Muridae.